This 267-nucleotide small nucleolar RNA is filed under the name Castor canadensis (American beaver). RNAcentral's name for it is "Small Cajal body specific RNA 6 (ENSCCNG00000002335.1)". The stretch from base 30 to 263 matches the Rfam family "Small Cajal body specific RNA 6", at positions 33 to 261 of the family's 265-position model. From Rfam's summary of the family: U88 is small Cajal body specific RNA (scaRNA). scaRNAs are a novel class of small nuclear RNAs which localise to the Cajal bodies. Lineage: Eukaryota; Metazoa; Chordata; Mammalia; Rodentia; Castoridae. The record is from RNAcentral.
AUUUAAUAUUUAUAUGAAUUAUAUAUAAAUUUGAAGCCCUUUCUGGCCAUUUAAAAGAAACUCCACCAGGUUCCUUUUUCCCAUCAAGCUCCAGAGGUGCUGUGAUAGAUAAAAGGACAGCUGACACUAAGCGAUGUCCAGGUUCCGUGUUUCCUGAAAACACGGAAAAUACCCCGAGGUUGGCAUCUAACAGCUUAGUGGCCUGGCAUUUUGGAUGCUAGGAGUGCUGGUGUCUGUGGCUGUGAUCAGACAGUUCUGGCUGAGACC